AUUGAACGCUGGCGGCAGGCCUAACACAUGCAAGUCGAGCGGAUGAAGGGAGCUUGCUCCUGGAUUCAGCGGCGGACGGGUGAGUAAUGCCUAGAAAUCUGCCUGGUAGUGGGGGAUAACGUCCGGAAACGGGCGCUAAUACCGCAUACGUCCUGAGGGAGAAAGUGGGGGAUCUUCGGACCUCACGCUAUCAGAUGAGCCUAGGUCGGAUUAGCUAGUUGGUGGGGUAAAGGCCUACCAAGGCGACGAUCCGUAACUGGUCUGAGAGGAUGAUCAGUCACACUGGAACUGAGACACGGUCCAGACUCCUACGGGAGGCAGCAGUGGGGAAUAUUGGACAAUGGGCGAAAGCCUGAUCCAGCCAUGCCGCGUGUGUGAAGAAGGUCUUCGGAUUGUAAAGCACUUUAAGUUGGGAGGAAGGGCAGUAAGUUAAUACCUUGCUGUUUUGACGUUACCAACAGAAUAAGCACCGGCUAACUUCGUG
RNAcentral lists this ribosomal RNA (484 nucleotides) under uncultured bacterium. RNAcentral describes it as "partial 16S ribosomal RNA". It matches the Rfam family "Bacterial small subunit ribosomal RNA", at positions 30 to 507 of the family's 1533-position model. The record is from RNAcentral.